AAUUGGAGGGCAAGUCUGGUGCCAGCAGCCGCGGUAAUUCCAGCUCCAAUAGCGUAUAUUAAAGUUGUUGCAGUUAAAAAGCUCGUAGUUGAAUUUCGGGGUUCUACCGUUGGUCGGGCUUUGUCUGUACUGGCGUGUAGAAUUUCUACCUUCUGGGGAACCAUCAUGUUAUUAAUUUAACGUGGUGGGAAACCAGGACCUUUACCUUGAAAAAAUUAGAGUGUUCAAAGCAGGCUUAUGUCUGAAUACAUUAGCAUGGAAUAAUAGAAUAGGACGGUGGUCCUGUUUUGUUGGUUUCUGAAUCACCGUAAUGAUUAAUAGGGAUAGUUGGGGGCAUUAGUAUUCAAUUGUCAGAGGUGAAAUUCUUGGAUUUAUUGAAGACUAACUUCUGCGAAAGCAUUUGCCAAGGAUGUUUUCAUUAAUCAAGAACGAAAGUUAGGGGAUCGAAGACGAUCAGAUACCGUCGUAGUCUUAACCAUAAACUAUGCCGACUAGGGAUCGGACGAUGUUAACUUUUCUUGACUCGUUCGGCGCCUUACGGGAAACCAAAGUGU
Molecule: ribosomal RNA, 554 nt
Filed under: uncultured Glomeromycotina
Lineage: Eukaryota; Fungi; Glomeromycota
Description: SSU rRNA
Rfam family: Eukaryotic small subunit ribosomal RNA
Source: RNAcentral